GAUGAACGCUGGCGGCGUGCCUAAUACAUGCAAGUCGAGCGAACAGACGAGGAGCUUGCUCCUCUGACGUUAGCGGCGGACGGGUGAGUAACACGUGGAUAACCUACCUAUAAGACUGGGAUAACUUCGGGAAACCGGAGCUAAUACCGGAUAAUAUAUUGAACCGCAUGGUUCAAUAGUGAAAGACGGUUUUGCUGUCACUUAUAGAUGGAUCCGCGCAGCAUUAGCUAGUUGGUAAGGUGACGGCUUACCAAGGCAACGAUGCGUAGCCGACCUGAGAGGGAGAACGCACAGCCUGGAACAGAGACAGGGCCGAGACUCCGACAGUAGGCAGCAGUAGGGAAUCUUCCGCAAUGGACGAAAGCUUGACGGAGCAACGCCGCGGGAGUGAUGAAGGUCUUAGGAUGGUAAAACGCUGUUAUUAGGGAAGAUCAAAUGUGUAUGUAACUAUGCACGUCUUGACGGUACCUGAUCAGAAAGCCACGGCUAACUACGUG
Molecule: ribosomal RNA, 497 nt
Filed under: uncultured bacterium
Lineage: Bacteria
Description: partial 16S ribosomal RNA
Rfam family: Bacterial small subunit ribosomal RNA
Source: RNAcentral